This 375-nucleotide long non-coding RNA is filed under the name Mizuhopecten yessoensis (Yesso scallop). RNAcentral describes it as "uncharacterized LOC110457924". The record is from RNAcentral. Lineage: Eukaryota; Metazoa; Mollusca; Bivalvia; Pectinida; Pectinidae.
ACAUGUAGGUCAGCCGUUUUCUCCCGCCACUGGACCAGACCUUUAUAAUUGUGCACACACAGCAGACCGUGAUUUGUACACAGACUAAGAAGAUUCACUGCAGCUGUGAUUUUCAUAUUAUAAUAGAUUCCAUUUAACAAUCAAGUUUAAUUGGACAGGGAAGAAGUUAAAAAGAGGCUUCUCAGCCCUCAAGUUCAUGAAGUUAUAACACGGGCUGUACAAAAAAACCGCCUUACGGCAAAGGCCAUUGACGAUGAGGUCGACAAUAUAGCCAAAGACUGGUUGAGGUAUGCAGGGGACCGAGAAGGGGGCAGACAAAAAAGAGAAGAAAUUAAAAGACAGAAAGAGGCGGCGACAGCUGCACUGAUGGCAUCG